AGUAACGCGUGAGGAACCUGCCUUUCAGAGGGGGACAACAGUUGGAAACGACUGCUAAUACCGCAUAACACAUAGGUGUCGCAUGGCAUUUAUGUCAAAGAUUUAUCGCUGAAAGAUGGCCUCGCGUCUGAUUAGCUAGUUGGUAGGGUAACGGCCUACCAAGGCGACGAUCAGUAGCCGGCCUGAGAGGGUGGACGGCCACAUUGGGACUGAGACACGGCCCAGACUCCUACGGGAGGCAGCAG
RNAcentral lists this ribosomal RNA (245 nucleotides) under uncultured bacterium. RNAcentral describes it as "partial 16S ribosomal RNA". It matches the Rfam family "Bacterial small subunit ribosomal RNA", at positions 109 to 354 of the family's 1533-position model. The record is from RNAcentral.